RNAcentral lists this ribosomal RNA (433 nucleotides) under uncultured bacterium. RNAcentral's name for it is "partial 16S ribosomal RNA". It matches the Rfam family "Bacterial small subunit ribosomal RNA", at positions 29 to 507 of the family's 1533-position model. The record is from RNAcentral.
AACGAACGCUGGCGGCAUGCCUAACACAUGCAAGUCGAACGAGACCUUCGGGUCUAGUGGCGCACGGGUGCGUAACGCGUGGGAACCUGCCCUUAGGUUCUGAAUAACUCCCCGAAAGGGGUGCUAAUACCGGAUAAUGUCUUCGGACCAAAGAUUUAUCGCCUUUGGAUGGGCCCGCGUUGGAUUAGCUAGUUGGUAGGGUAAAAGCCUACCAAGGCGACGAUCCAUAGCUGGUCUGAGAGGAUGAUCAGCCACACUGGGACUGAGACACGGCCCAGACUCCUACGGGAGGCAGCAGUGGGGAAUAUAGGAGAAUGGGCGAAAGCCUGAUCCAGCAAUGCCGCGUGAGUGAUGAAGGCCUUAGGGUUGUAAAGCUCUUUUAACCGGGAUGAUAAUGACAGUACCGGGAGAAUAAGCUCCGGCUAACUCCGUG